UCGUCUCAGUUCGGACUGUAGUCUGCAACUCGACUACACGAAGCCGGAAUCGCUAGUAAUCGCGAAUCAGAAUGUCGCGGUGAAUACGUUCCCGGGUCUUGUACACACCGCCCGUCACACCAUGGGAGUCGGAAAUGCCCGAAGUCAGUGACCUAACCAUUAAGGGAGGAGCUGCCGAAGGUGGAGCCGGUAACUGGGGUGAAGUCGUAACAAGGUAUC
This 219-nucleotide ribosomal RNA is filed under the name uncultured bacterium. RNAcentral's name for it is "partial 16S ribosomal RNA". It matches the Rfam family "Bacterial small subunit ribosomal RNA", at positions 1283 to 1500 of the family's 1533-position model. The record is from RNAcentral.